GACGAACGCUGGCGGCGUGCUUAACACAUGCAAGUCGAACGGUAAGGCCCUUCGGGGUACACGAGUGGCGAACGGGGGAGUAACACGUGGGUGAUCUGCCCUUCACCUCGGGAUAAGCCUGGGAAACUGGGUCUAAUACCGGAUAGGACCACUGCCUGCAUGGGUGGGGGUGGAAAGCGUUUGCGGUGUGGGAUGGGCCCGCGGCCUAUCAGCUUGUUGGUGGGGUGAUGGUCUACCAAGGCGACGACGGGUAGCCGGCCUGAGAGGGUGACCGGCCACACUGGGACUGAGAUACGGCCCAGACUCCUACGGGAGGCAGCAGUGGGGAAUAUAGCACAAUGGGCGCAAGCCUGAUGCAGCGACGCCGCGUGAGGGAUGACGGCCUUCGGGUUGUAAACCUCUUUCAGCACCGACGAAGCGCAAGUGACGGUAGGUGCAGAAGAAGGACCGGCCAACUACGUGCCAGCAGCCGCGGUAA
RNAcentral lists this ribosomal RNA (478 nucleotides) under uncultured bacterium. Its description in RNAcentral is "partial 16S ribosomal RNA". It matches the Rfam family "Bacterial small subunit ribosomal RNA", at positions 28 to 523 of the family's 1533-position model. The record is from RNAcentral.